Esox lucius (northern pike) is the source of this 1727-nucleotide long non-coding RNA. NCBI's taxonomy places the organism in Eukaryota, Metazoa, Chordata, Actinopteri, Esociformes, Esocidae. The record is from Ensembl.
CAUGCUGUACUUUUUAAAUUCAUACUGUACUUUUUAAUUCAUACACUACCUUUUAAUUCAUACUCUACUUUUUAUGUGAAAUAAGCUCAGAUUUCUAUAGUGGAGAGUACUACUGUUAUUUAUUGUAGAUGUAUAUUGUUUUUCUUCUAUACCACCAACUACACCCACAGCCCCUGGAAACAAACACUACUCUUUAACUGGCCCCAGUCCAUUCCAGUUCAGAUAUCUGAAUAGAAACGGAAUGUGUCCGGACUCUGCUCUAGAACUUCAGCAGCCAAAGACAGAAACAGGGCAACAUUUGUUAACUUCCUGUAGGGAUGAAUUGGUUUAAAACAGGACAAUGUUAACUUCCUGUAGGGAUGAAUUGGUUUAAAACAGGACAAUGUUAACUUCCUGUAGGGAUGAAUUGGUUUAAAACAGGACAAUGUUAACUUCCUGUAGGGAUGAAUUGGUUUAAAACAGGACAAUGUUAACUUCCUGUAGGGAUGAAUUGGUUUAAAACAGGACAAUGUUAACUUCCUGUAGGGAUGAAUUGGUUUAAAACAGGACAUUGUUAACUUCUCUGAAAUAAACGGGUUUUGCAUGUAAAGAUCAGAGGCCUUAUGAAAAUAAGAGUAGCUGUAUUAUCAACUUGUAAACAAGCAUCAAAAAGGUUUUCAUUUUUCUCAACUAAAUGAUGACAUACCCAAUGAGUGUUAGGAAAGGAAUCCAGGAACUAAUAUGGUGCUUUUUCAUUGGUGUUCUCUGUUUUGUUAACAGUUUGAUUUAACAUGUGUUUUUAGUUUUGAGGCUCAAUUCAAUCAAACCCACAUUGAUGUAUUUACGCAGCAACAUUUUCAAAAGCUCAAAUGAACUACUAGACUAGUCUUAAGUACACAAACCUACGUAGGCUCCCUCAGACGUCUGCCUGGACAAAUCAGAGAAGUCAUUUGGCACUGGAUUAAUAUAACAUAAAUAAAGGUGCUGCUUAAACAUUGCUAUGGCAGGUUGGAUUGACUCCUGGGCUUGGUUUAUGACCAGGUUUUUUGAGGUGUGUGCGCGCUCAUAAAGUCAGUCUUUGUUGAUACAAAUAGUCUAAAUCUUCAUCUCCAGUUAUUUCAUCUUCACCUCUCAUUAUUCCUCUUUCCUUCUCUCAUCUUCUCUCCUUCACAUCUGCUCAGUUCUGCUCCCUAUAUCUUCUGUCAGCUCCUUCAUCUGUUAAUGAAUUGAACAGGUGCAAAGCUCACUGAGCAGCUGCCAUUUUAUUUUUGUAGAAUUCUGUGUGGUCAGAUGAAUGCUGAUGUGACAACUUGAGGAACCAAUGAGAGGAGAGGAAGCCACAGCAGAUGUCAGCUGGGGUCAAAACAUGAAUUCUGUUGCAAAAAUUUUUCUAAUAAUUGAAGCUAAAGGAGUGAAACUGGGACCUGAAUUUGUCCAACAGACAACAGUUUGCAAACAGUCGGCAGAAUGAACACACCCCGCUGACAAGAGACUGGUCAGUGUCCCUCCAGGGCCUCGUUUGUUCAGGGCUGCUGAUGUUUUAUUGAGUACAUGAAGAAGUGUUCUGAGAGUGUCUGUGUCCUUUGAUUGGGGAGCUUUCAGUUUGCAUGUUUUACUAGCACUUUUUUUCUACCGUAUUAUAAAGACUGUCCUGGGAGCAGGAGUGUUGUGUAGCUGACGUCAACUCCAGGCGUCCCUGUUUUGAAACUGUAAUGUGUGGUGUUCUAAUAAAUAGACAGAAAGACCUG